This is a long non-coding RNA of Danio rerio (zebrafish), 2111 nucleotides long. NCBI's taxonomy places the organism in Eukaryota, Metazoa, Chordata, Actinopteri, Cypriniformes, Danionidae. The record is from Ensembl.
AAAUUCUUACAGACCCCAAACUUAUGGUGGUUUAUUUGUAACAAUCCCUUUCCGUCUUGUUUAUGCACAGUCUAUCAUGAAAGUUCUGGAAAAUCCUAACAGUUGGAAUGCUUUCCGCACUGCUGGAGGAUUUACCGGCUUGCUCUCCAUUGUUGUGGACAUGGAAGGAUCUCUUUUGGAAACCCCAGCGGGUCCGUGGGCUUCACUGAGCCGCCAGAGCCUCGUUGAACUGCUUCUUUUCACCCUACACACCAUUGCCUUUGCUGUUCACAUCCAUCCAGUCAACGCACACUUUUUUCACACAGUUGGAGUCUGUGAGAAGCUGGGUGAGGCCCUGCUGCAUCUUGGCUGUUUUCAGAAAGGGGAUCCUGUGGAAUCAGACAGAGACAGUUCGGCCUACAGGACUUUCCAGCAGUUUGUGGAGGUGGUGGAAAAGCCAGGACCUCAGCUGCCAGCACCUUUAGGAGACUGUGUUAAGCUGCUGGGCUUCCUAGAACAGUUUGCUACUGGUGUGAGCUUGGCUGCUGAUCCUUGCACAGGCUUGCAGGAUAAUAAUGAAGCUGGCGAGAUUCAGAUCAUAGACUCAGGUCAGACACCAGAGGAAUCGACCAAUAAGGAUGAAGCUUUUAAUCACGUUAGGGCUCCAAGUGUAUCUGUAGUAUCUAUAGAAUCGGGGAGGAUUUACGGUAACUUUACAAUCCUUCAUCCUGGAGCUGUUAAGCUCAUCAUGACUCUUCUGCCUAGUAUUUACUGUCCCAGUGACCCUUGUGUAAGUAAAACCACAAUCACAUACUGUACACUAAAUGAUUUAAAAAUAUAUAUGCUUUAAAUUAAUACCUUGAGCUCCUCAGGGCAGGAUGUAUUUAGUGUUAAAUAAUCCAUAAUAUAUUAUUUAAGUUUGCUGAUUUGGUGAAAACUGAUUUCCUGCUUAUUUAUUUAUUUUUGUAGAAACUGAUGUUUUUUUUCAGGGUUUUCUUUCAUUUAUUGAAAGAGUUAAAAGAACAUAAUUUAUUUAUUUAUUUAUUUUUUUUUUAUAAAUGUUCCUUCUGCCACUUUUAAUCAAUUUGAUGCAUUCUUACAGCAACUACAAUAAUUCUAGCCAUUUUUUUCUGUAGUUGUCAGAGGAGCUGCAGCUGGCUGUGGCUCAUCAUGUCCAGACUCUGGUGAAGUCCGAGAGAAACAGGCAGAUCAUGUGUGAAUUUGGUCUGUUGUCUACACUGUUGACUCACUGCAAAGACAUCCUCAUCGACAAUUCCCAUUCGCUACACUUGCCCAUUGUCCGGAUUCUCGAGAAACUUGCCUCUCAGUCCAUGGAUCAGAAGUGCCUGAGGUCAGCAUGCAUUUGCUGUUAACAUCCUCACAAAAAAAUGCAAUAUGAUAAAUAGAUGAUUAUAUGAUUGUAUGCUGUUAAAUAGUGUGCUUUGCUUUAUAUUAGGCACUUCCUGUGUCUUGGGGAUCCACUGAUGUGUUGUGGAGAAAAUCAGCCUUCUGUCACCUUAGAAGAGGCCAGCUGCACAAGUACAGUUCCUCCCAGUCCUCUCACACUUCCUUUUUGGAUUACUGCCUGUUUCGUGAAAAACAUUUGAUCUUAUUGUUACAUCCAUUUGGAUUUCAAUACAAUAAUGAUGGUUUUAUAUUGUUUUUGGUUUUUACUUUCACAGAUCAGACCAAAGACUCUGAGGAGAACAACAAGAAGUCAUUGAAAAGGGCAAUGAAAAGAAGUUUUAGUUUACUGAAAACACCUUUAGACAGUGGGAUGGUAGUUCCUCUUCACAGAAUCAUAAGUCUUGUCUCCAUCACGUCACCACGGAACUUUCAGCCACACAAAGUCUCCAUUUCCCCUUCCUUUGUGGAGUUUGACAUGACCGACAGUGGCUAUGGGUAAGUGUUUAAUAAACAAUUAAUAUGGACCCUUUCACAAGGCGCGUUUAAUGGUCAUCAGCAUCUUAAAUCCUUGAAAAUUUUUAUAUUUUAAAACAUAUGCCAAUGUAUUAUAUACAUUUAUUAAAAUGUAUUAUAUCAUCUUUUCAUAAAAAAAAUAAUAAUAAAAUAAAAAUAAUAAAAAAUAAUCGCUUAUGUGAGGUGUUUCUAAUGCCGUUUCUAUGGGUGGG